RNAcentral lists this ribosomal RNA (451 nucleotides) under uncultured bacterium. RNAcentral describes it as "bacterial SSU rRNA". It matches the Rfam family "Bacterial small subunit ribosomal RNA", at positions 29 to 524 of the family's 1533-position model. The record is from RNAcentral.
AGCGAACGCUGGCGGCAGGCUUAACACAUGCAAGUCGAGCGCUCGUAGCAAUACGAGAGCGGCAGACGGGAGAGUAACACGUGGGAACGUACCCUUUGGUUCGGAACAACACAGGGAAACUUGUGCUAAUACCGGAUAAGCCCUUACGGGGAAAGAUUUAUCGCCAAAGGAUCGGCCCGCGUCUGAUUAGCUAGUUGGUGGGGUAACGGCUCACCAAGGCGACGAUCAGUAGCUGGCUGAGAGGAUGACCAGCCUCAUUGGGACUGAGACACGGCCCAAACUCCUACGGGAGGCAGCAGUGGGGAAUAUUGGACAAUGGGCGCAAGCCUGAUCCAGCCAUGCCGCGUGGAUGAUGAAGGCCUUAGGGUUGUAAAGUCCUUUUAACGGGGAAGAUAAUGACGGUACCCGUAGAAUAAGCCCCGGCUAACUUCGUGCCAGCCGCCGCAGUAAC